Molecule: long non-coding RNA, 408 nt
Organism: Passer domesticus (house sparrow)
Lineage: Eukaryota; Metazoa; Chordata; Aves; Passeriformes; Passeridae
Exons: 3
Source: RefSeq, a predicted model, not a curated record
CCACUCUCUGGGCCUGGCCAGCCCAGAGAGUUUUUCACCCAGCAAUGGCUACACCCGUCCAAGCCAUGAGCAGCCAGUUUCUCCAGGAGAAUGCUGUGGGAUGUGGUGUCAAAUGCUUUACCAAAGUCUAGUAAAGACAGUGUCUGACUCUGAUGAUGGCCUGGAUUUUGCAUUGCCUGCAAGUUCUCUGUGUUGAAGCUUCUCUUUCUCCCUGUGAGCUCAGAGCAUGCCCUAUAACCUGCAGUGUGUUUCCAAGGCUGGAGUGAAGGUAACAGAUUUAGCAGAAGUAAAGAUGCAAGGAGCAGCAUGGAAAGCAGGCAGUAACAACAGCCUCAGAGAGACAUAUGAAGAGUGAAGCUCAGACACACAGACAGAAAUGUGGGGAAAUGCCCCACAUUGGGCAUUGGG